Molecule: non-coding RNA, 114 nt
Organism: Acanthosepion pharaonis
Lineage: Eukaryota; Metazoa; Mollusca; Cephalopoda; Sepiida; Sepiidae
Source: the annotation of a GenBank genome assembly
UUACGGCUACAUCACGUUGAACUACCGGUUCCCGUACGAUCACCGAAGCUAAGCAACGUCGAACUAGGUCAGUACCUAGAUGGGUGACCGUUUGGGAAUACCAGGUACUGUAAG